CCGCGACCCCAGGUCAGGCGGGAUUACCCGCUGAGUUUAAG
RNAcentral lists this ribosomal RNA (41 nucleotides) under Datura inoxia (sacred datura). RNAcentral's name for it is "partial 25S ribosomal RNA". The record is from RNAcentral. Lineage: Eukaryota; Viridiplantae; Streptophyta; Magnoliopsida; Solanales; Solanaceae.